Molecule: long non-coding RNA, 3821 nt
Filed under: Sus scrofa (pig)
Lineage: Eukaryota; Metazoa; Chordata; Mammalia; Artiodactyla; Suidae
Description: lncRNA (ENSSSCG00000059538.1)
Source: RNAcentral
UUUUUUUUUUUUUUUUUUUUUUUUUUUUUUUUGCUGCACCUGCAGCAUAUGGAAGUUCCCAGGCCUAAGAGUUGAAUGCCAGCCUAAACCACAGCCACAGCCAAGUCAGAUCCAAGCUGUGUCUUGGAAACACCAGAUCCUUAGCCCUCUGAGCAAGGCCAUGGAUCGAACCCAAAUCCUCAGGGACACUAGUCAGUUACUGCUGAGCCACACGGGAACUCUAAAAAUAUCAAUUCUUUAUUUAGGUUUUCCAUUAAGCAGUGUUUUAGUAAUUAAGGUUUUUGUUUUGUUUUGCUUUGAUUUUUCAGGGCCACACUUGUGGCCUAUGGAGGUUGCCAGACUAGGGGUCAGAUCAGAGCUGUAGCUGCUGGCCUACGCCACAGCCACAGCAAUGCAGGAUCCAAGCUGCAUCUGCCACCUGCACCACAGCUCACUGUAAUGCUGGAUCCUUAACCCCCUGAGCAAGGCCAGGGAUCGAACCUGUGUCCUCAUGAAUGCUAGUCAGAUUCCUUAACCUCUGAGCCACAAUGGGAACUCCAGUAAUUAAGGUUUAUACAUUAAUUUGACAGGAACUAAAAGUGAUUGAAACUAAAAACAUAAACAGAAUUUCUUUAAAAUAUGGAAGUGUAUAUGAUAUUGUAUGUUAAUUAAAACAAAAUUUUUUAAAAUGAAGCAUGGAAAUAUGCCAUUUGAAAUAAAAUAUAAGGCCAAUUCAAGUGAAGCUAUUAUUAUCUAAUAAAAUGAUAACAUUUUGAUAUAUUCCUUUCUGUGAUGACUAAUUUUAUAUGUAAACUUGACUGGGCCACAUGGUGUCUAGAUAUUAGGGCGUUUUGGAUAAGAUUAACAUUUAAAUGUGGAAUGAGUAAAACAGAUUGCCUCCCUAAUGUGGGUGAACUUCAGUCAAUCAGUUAAAGGCCUGAAGGACAAAAAGGCUGAAUCUCCUCCUUCUGCCACCAGUGAGAAUUCUUCCCAUCUGACUACCUUUUAGUUGGGACAUCUGUAGUUUCCUGGCUUUGGGCUCUACUUUUCCUAGUUUGAGUGUGCUGGUCUUUGGAAUAGAACUGCAUCAUUAACUCUCCUUGGAUAUCCAGCUUGUCCACUUACCCUGCAUAUCUUGGGACUUGUCAGCCUUUACAAUCUCAUGAGCUAAUUCCUUUCAAUCUCUGCAUAUAUAUGUGUGCAUAUUUAGACGUAUAUGUGUAUUUAGACAUAUAUAUGUCUAAAUGAAUGUCAGUGAGAGUUUAGGCCUCACGUUUUAAAAGCAAUGAAAAUAUAUGUAGAGGGAUUUUAUUAUUGGCAUUGUUAUGUAGAAUUUAUCAUAUAAUUUAACCCUUUCUCAGAUAGAGGUCACUGAAAUGAAUUCAGCUUUUUGCUUUUAUAGUAAAUAGCCCUUGACUUCUGGGCUUCUUAGGAUCAUAGGUAUGCUUUUUAGUAGUGUUUGUCUUUGGCAGCUUAAUGUUCAGACUUGACAUUGUAUCCUCAAAUGGCAGAAGGGGCUAAGGAGCUCCCUGGGAUCUUUUUUUUAUAAUAGCAAAAUAUUAUAUGUUUGUAUGUAUGUAUGUUUACACAGGCACACACAUACUUCCUAUUGGCUUUGUUUCUCUGUAGAACCCAAAUACACUAUCUUUUUUUGUUCCCUAUGCAUAGUCUUAAAACAGACAUUUAUGUAAGUAACUUGAAGGUAAUCCUAUUCCAAGUAUACUAUAAGUAUACUUUAGCUUUUCAGAAACCUAUAUAUAAGAGAAAAAAGAGUUAUAUAAUAUUUACCUUUUUAAGGCACAGGAAAUGCAAGGUUUUCUGUAGGUGGGUUGGCAUGUAUGUAAAUAGCUUGUCAUAGAAUAUGGUUACCUAAAAGCUUAAUACCACUCACUUCUGAGUACUUUUUGGCUGUUCCUCAAAUCUGGCUGUGGUCUAAUGCACACCCAGUGGGAUUUCUAACCCUCUGGUGAUCUGACCCUCUGACUCUCAGUGUCGUGUGCUGUGGGCUUUAUUUUCUUGGGAGUUGAAUCACAUUGGUGAUGCCAUGUAUUUGUUCUUCUCAUACUUCCACUGUACACUGAUUUGGAAAACUAACUUUUCUUGUUUUACUAAUGGUCUGGCCUGUUAUUUUGGAGGUUAUUUUCCUCCCUUGAGAAGAUAGGAAAAAGAGACUCAGCUCUCCUUGCUUCUAGUUACUGGAUUUGGAUCUAUUCCUAAUAGGAUCUAGCCUUUGCUUAUUCUGUGUGGUAGCUUUCUGACAAUUUGUAAUCAUUCAGUAGGAAGAAACAUGGUAUUGUAUCUGUUUUUAUUAUUUUUUUCUUUUUUAAAUUAAAAUAUAGUUGUUUCAUGCCAUGCCAGUUUCUGUUGGCACAUGCACGCACACACACACAAAUUCUUUUUUAUAUUCUUUUCCAUCAUGCUCUAUCCCAGGAUAUUGGAUGUAGUUCCCUGUUGUCCUGUACAAUAGGAGCUUGUUGUUUAUCCAUUCUAAAUGAAAUUGUUUGUAUCUACUAACCCUAAACUUCCAAUCCAUCCCAGUCCUUACCCCCAUCCCUUUGGUAAUCACAAGUCUGUUCUCCAUGUCUGUGAAUCUGUUUCUGUAUUAUAGAUAGGUUCAUCUGUGCCCUAUUUUAGAUUCCACAUAUAAGUGGUAUCAUAUAGUGUUUGUCUUUCUUAUGCAGUAUGAGUCUCUAGUUGCAUCCAUGCACCUACAAAUGGCAUUAUUUCGUUCUUUUUUAUGGCUGAGUAGUAUUCCAUUGUGUAUAUGUACCACAUCUGCUUAAUCCAUUCAUCUGUCAAUGGACAUUUAGUUUGUUUCCAUGUCUUGGCUAUUAUGAAUAGUGCAUCAAUAAACAUAUGGGGUGCAUGUAUCUUUUUUAAUGAAAGUUUAGUCCUGGGAGUGGGAUUGCUGAAUCAUAUGGUAAUUCUAUUUUUAGCUUCCUGAGGAACCUCCAUAAUGUUUUCCCUACUGGUUAUAUCAAUUUACAUUCCCACCAACAGUGUAGGAGGAUUCUCUUUUCUCCACACCCUCUCCAGCAUUUGUAAACUUUUUAAUGAUGGCCAUUCUGACGGGUGUGAGGUGGUAUACCUCAUUGUAGUUUUGAUUUGCACUUCUCUGAUAAUUAUGUGGAGCAUUUUUUCAUGUGCCUACUGGCCAUCUGUAUGUCUUAUUUGGAGAAAUGUGUAUUUAGGUCUUUUGGCCAUUUUUUGAUUGAGUUUAUUUUUUUGUUGUUGAGUUAUAUGAGUUUUUGUAUAUUUUGAAGAUGAAGCCCUUGUCAGUUGCAUCAUUUGCAGAUAUUUUCUCCCAUUCCAUAGGUUGUCUUUUCAUUUUUUUAUGGUUUCUUUCAUUAUGCAAGAAGCUUUUAAGUUUGAUAGGUCUCAUUUGUUUAUUUCUCUUUUUAUCUCUACUGCCUUGGAAGACUGACUUAAGACAUUUAUACAGUUGAUGUCAGAGAAUGUUUUGCCUUUUUUCUCUUCUAGGAGUUUUAUGGUGUCUUAUGUUUGUCUUUAAGCCAGUUUGUGUUUAUUUUUGUGCAUGGUGUAGGGUGUGCUCUACUUUCAUUGAUUUACAUGUAGCUGUCCAGUUUUCCUAGCACCACUUGCUAAAGAGACUUUUUCCCAUUUUAUAUUCUUGCCUCCUUUGCUGAAGUUUAACUGAGCAUAAGUACGUGGGUUUAUUUCUGUUCCAUUGAUCUGUUUGUCCUUUGUACCAAUAUCACACUGUUUUGAUUACUGUAGCUUUCUGGUGUUAUUUGAAGUCUGAGCGAGUUAUGCCUCCUUUUUUUCCCCUCAAGAUUACUUUGCUGUAAAUCAACUGUAAUGGAAAAAAUAAAAACCAUUUU